UACGUAGGGGGCAAGCGUUGUCCGGAAUUAUUGGGCGUAAAGCGCGCGCAGGCGGUUCAUUAAGUUUGGUGUUUAAGCCCGGGGCUCAACCCCGGUUCGCACUGAAAACUGGUGGACUUGAGUGCAGGAGAGGAAAGCGGAAUUCCACGUGUAGCGGUGAAAUGCGUAGAGAUGUGGAGGAACACCAGUGGCGAAGGCGGCUUUCUGGACUGUAACUGACGCUGAGGCGCGAAAGCGUGGGGAGCAAACAGG
This 252-nucleotide ribosomal RNA is filed under the name uncultured bacterium. RNAcentral's name for it is "partial 16S ribosomal RNA". It matches the Rfam family "Bacterial small subunit ribosomal RNA", at positions 524 to 776 of the family's 1533-position model. The record is from RNAcentral.